UAUGUACUCCCUCCAUCCGGAAAUACUUGUCGUAGAAAUGGAUACAAAUGGAUGCAUCUAGAGUUAAAAUACAUCCAGAUACAUCCAUUCCUCGGACAAGUAUUUCCGGACGGAGGGAGCAGUCA
Molecule: non-coding RNA, 125 nt
Organism: Triticum aestivum (bread wheat)
Lineage: Eukaryota; Viridiplantae; Streptophyta; Magnoliopsida; Poales; Poaceae
Source: Rfam